UAAUUGUGGUGCUUGUUUAAUAUUUAGCCAUAUUUAGCCAUAUUGAACCAUAUACCGUUUGUCCUUUUCAUCCUUCUAAAUUGAUUACAGUGAUUACUGAUUCUCCUUCUUCUCCGAAAUGGGUUGGCUUUUGUUCUUAAGAAAUUCAAUUCAACUUCCCUUCUAAUCGUUCCUAUUGUUGGGUUUAGGUUUGAUCUACAACGAUUGUUGAAAAUAGCCCUCCCUAUUUUCGAUUCUGUAUGUGCAUCUUCACCAUUGUUUGGUGCGCUCAAAGUCAAAGGGGCUCUGAAAUACCGUGUAUGCUCAAGUUUUUCGGAUCAAGAAGAUGGUGGAGACUGGCAGAGGACAUACCAGGCCACUAGUGUCGUGAUAUGGACAUUGGACCUCAAUUUUUUCAAAGAGCUUAAUGUGGUUUCGACUCGUUCUUGAAGUGUUGAUAAUUCGAUUAUACCGGAAAAGUUUUCGUAUUUGAAAGCAUUUUCUUUUUCAUCAGCUUUGAAAACAUUAGCUCAACCUCCUUGUUCUCAGUUCACUAAGAAAGUUUUUGUCAAUGGGGAUGGUCAAGGAAUGAGAUCAAAGAUUUGGCAGAGAUAAUUAACGAAAUGCAUAUAAAGACCACUUUGAGCAUUGCAUUGGGACCCAUUCUCGAUGAUUUCAUGUCAUCCACAAUAGUGAAGAUGCCCAUGUGAAUAGAACUCAUAACAGACCUCUCUGUAGGAGAAGCUUCAUAAAUUCCCAAAACCGUUCGCUGGGAGUAACAGAACAUUAGAACAUAUAUAAAAGCAGGUUUUUUUAUUGUUUUGUUGACUUGUCUAACCUAUAUUCAUCUGCCUACCCCACGUAGACUUUGAAGAUCAAUUCAAUUCAAGAGGAAGAUACUCAUAGAUGCAUUCAUGGAAGCUGAUUUUGAACUUCUCACCUCACUUAUAGGGCUGUUGAAAAAUGGUAAAAAAGAGCAUUCAUAUAGUUUUUCUUUCCAUGAAAGGAGUACUACUAGUUUCUAGUUUUGUCUUGGGCAAUCAUAUCAUCUUUGUUUGCUAUAUACCUUAACAAAAGCUCAAUCUGAUGUGAACAAUUCAUAUAAAAAUAUCUAAAACACACAAAUAAACAAACAAUCAAACCAGCAAUCUGUAUAUCAUUACACUGAUUCUAAACUCUCCUCUCCGGGACUCUGUUCUUCCUUGCUUUGGAGGAAGUUGAUAAGACCUUGAAGUGAAACUUCAGCAUUGUCAUUCUUCAUCAGCUCUCCACCAAUUUCCGCAGGAGUUGCGCGAACCUUCUCCAGCAAUUUCUCAAUUUCCCCAAACAAAGUGUGCUUCUUAAUCUGUAAGUACUUAUUUGCUAGUAUCUUGAAUCCAUUGAAAUCACAGUAAGACAGAUGGAGAUGCAGAUCCAUUCGACCAGGUCUCAGUAGAGCCGGAUCCAAUCGGUCCUUGUGAUUGGUAGUGAACACAACGAUUCUCUCGUCUCCGCAACUAGACCACAAGCCAUCAAUGAAGUUCAACAGACCAGAGAGAGUAAUCUGUAAAAGGAAAACAACACCAUACCAUAUCAUGGAGUUAGCACAAACUCUUGUGUAAACAAAGAACAAUUUUCUCUUUUUACUACCUUAUCACCAUCUUCAACGUGUUUGAAUUCAUUAUCUGAAUUCCUAUUUUGCAACUCAACUGAACAGUCAAUGUCCUCAAUCACUAAUAUGGAUCGGUUCCCAGUGCCAAUCAACAACCUCCUCAAAUCCGAAUCGCAUUGGACUUCUUUUAAAUCCAAGUCAUAGAUGUCAAACUUGAGAUAGUUGGCCAUGGCAGCAACCAAGCUCGACUUUCCUGUACCAGGCGGUCCAUACAACAAAUACCCACGUUUCCAAGCCUUCCCUACUCUUCUGUAAUACUCUUUUCUCGAUAUAAAUCUAUGGAGGUCAUCAAUCAAUGUCUUCUUCAUGUCGGGGUCCAUGGCCAUAGUUUCGAAGGUAGCAGGAUGAUCCAGGUUUAUCCAACUCCAGUAAUCACUCCCAUUAUAAUCCACAGUAUGAAGCUUCACACACUUUCUUUCUUCUUUAAGCCAUUUAGCUUUCUCCAAAACGUAGGGCAGGUAAGAAUCCAGAGCCAAUUCCCUGUGUUUUUUACGAAAGCUUAGCUCGUAGUGUCGUAUCUCCUUCUGGGCAAAUCCGCUACUGUGAUCUCCUCGCCUGCCACUACUAGAAAACGACGAGCCGUUUCUGGAGGAGACCAAAACCCAACUGAAUUUGACCCCCUUAAACGAAUCUUCCAUUUCUUGAUUUAUGUCUAUGGUCACUGCCAGCUGCUUCUCCUUCUCCAACUUCUUGACUUUGAUUCUGUCAGUUGAGGCAUAUUGGGUGGCGCCCAAGUAAAUGGUGGCAGACUCGAACAACUGGUUCGCUGUGAGACCGUCGAACUCGUCGACUACGACGGUGACGUGGGGUGAUAAUCGGGUGUAGAGUUUGUGAACGCGCGUGAUGAACAGCUCCUGGACAGCGUCUGGGAUAAGAUUCUCAGUGACGGAUCGGAGAAGAACCGCUGAGGCGGUGAGUGAGGCAGCCACUGAAAUGAUUGUUUUAGCAGAAGGCACUGUCUCCGGCGACGACCACAUUUUCCCUUUUUAUUUUAUUUAUUUUAUUUUUGCUGUUAAGGUUUGGGUUUUUCUAUUAUUAUUUUUUUUUUUGAGAAAAAUAUAUAUAAUACGAUUGGUCAAAAAGAAGAGGAAAAGCAGAUGCCCGAAAUUUCGAGAAGAGAAACUGUAAAGCUGUUAUAUGCGACACAACCUGUCAAGCUUAGUGCUGAAUUGGGCCUAAAAUUGAGAAAAUUGUACUCUAUACCCUUUUUAUAUUGUCCUCUUUUAUUUUUACCUUCUUUUUUAAAAUCUAUCAUUUUUACCUCUUUUUUUAAACAUUGUACCAAUUUUGCCCCUAUCACUUCAAGAUACUCUCCAUGUGAUUCUCUUAUGUAAGGAUAUUUUGGGUACAAUACAUAUAAAAAGAGGUAUGUUUCAAAUAAAUAUAAAAUUAGAGGUAAAUUUGAUUAAUUGAUGAAUAAAAGAGGCAUUUUUCAACUUACCCCCCUAAAAUUUGCUGAAGCCGGUUUCUUAGGCCCAAGAGAUAUAAGUACUAAUUCGUUUUAUGGUAUUUAAUAUGCUAUAUAUAUAAAGUAGAUUUUUAAAUCCCAUAUUUAAUGUUUUAAUUUGUUUAGGUAGUUUUAUGUCACUGGUGCCAGAAAAGUCGCCAGAGUUUGCUGUCGGUGCUAGAAAAAUUAUUGGAGUAGCUAUCGGUGCCGGAAAAGUCGUCAGAGUUGGUGUCGAUGCCAAAAAAUUUGUCUAAAUUGCAUUGUCGCUGGAAAAAUCAAUAAAAAAAUCAUCAAGAAACUAGUUUCUUGCAGAAGAAACCACUUUUUCGGUGAUUUUUCCGAUGACAAUGCCAAUGCUGACGACUUUUCUGACACUAGCAGCUACUCCGAUGACUUUUCCGGCACUGACAGUAAACUUUAAAAAAGUCAUUGGAAUUGGCAUAGUCGCCGGAAAAUGUUUCUUGGUGAUUUUUUCGGUGAUUUUUCUGACGACAAUACCAAUUCUGAUGACUUUUAUGGCAUCGGCAACAACUCCAACGACUUUUCCGACAUCGACAGCUACUCCGGUGACUUUUCCAGUACCAAGAGCAAACUCCAAAAAAUUCAUCGGAAUUGGCUUUUGUCGCCAGAAAAAUUACUGGAAAAAUCACCAAGAAAUCAUUUUUUGGUGAUUUUUUUAGCGAUAAUGCCAAUUCCGAUGACUUCUCUGGUGCUGGCAGCAACUCCGACGACUUUUUCGAUGCCGACAGCAACUCCGACAAUUUUUCUGACGCCGACAGGAAACUCUGGUGCCUUUACUGGCACCGAUGACAACUUCGGCGAUCACAGUAGUUUCAUUUGUUCUAUUUUUUUUUAAAAAAAAAAAUAUGAAGGAAAUUUUAAUACCUUUUAUGGUAAUUUAAUCCCAUAUAUGUUAAAUUUUUAUUUUAAUUUUCAUAUUUUUUCCUAUUAAGUUUCCUUACCACAUUUAUGUAAACUAGCUUUAUGUUUUCCAUAUUUAUAGAAUUACCAUAUAUAAAUAUUAAAUUUUGUACAA
Cannabis sativa is the source of this 4113-nucleotide long non-coding RNA. RefSeq lists it as uncharacterized. The record is from RefSeq and is a predicted model, not a curated record. NCBI's taxonomy places the organism in Eukaryota, Viridiplantae, Streptophyta, Magnoliopsida, Rosales, Cannabaceae. The transcript has 3 exons.